GGGAGGCAGAAUCUUUACAGAUGAAUUCUGAAGAAAGCUUCCAACUUUCGGCACAGAGAAGAAACUGAAUUCUUCAGACACAGGUAACCGGGAUCAACAUCAUCCAGCGCCUCGUUGAUCCAGCAGAGAACUCGAAGUCAGUGAUGAGCCUCCUUGCAUUAUGGGACACAUUUAUAUGUUUUUCAGUCUUUUCUUUACUUAUAGGAUAUUGUGGGGUCUGUCCCAACAUACAUCUGAGUAUGAUAGAGGAUUCAUAGAUAGAUAGACAAUCAAACAGUUUAAGUUUUUGGGUCUCUCUUUAAUUGUAUUCAGAUAUUGUAUGUGAGACUUAAGUGUCAUUUUGGCCAUAUAUCUAUUUGAAGUUGUUUUUAUGA
This is a long non-coding RNA of Solanum pennellii, 374 nucleotides long. RefSeq lists it as uncharacterized. The record is from RefSeq and is a predicted model, not a curated record. The transcript is spliced from 2 exons. Lineage: Eukaryota; Viridiplantae; Streptophyta; Magnoliopsida; Solanales; Solanaceae.